RNAcentral lists this ribosomal RNA (180 nucleotides) under Triticum aestivum (bread wheat). Its description in RNAcentral is "partial small subunit ribosomal RNA". The record is from RNAcentral. Lineage: Eukaryota; Viridiplantae; Streptophyta; Magnoliopsida; Poales; Poaceae.
AAGGCUCGUGCAUCCCUUACCAUGCUCAUUUCUUAGUUUAUUUGGAAUGAAAAAAACGCAAGAGUAUUUCACAACAAGUCUUCUCUGCCACCGAUUCUGCUCAACAAUAUCAAGCUUGAGGCUUCACUUUGGGCGAUUGCGGGCGCCAAAAAGUUAGGGACCAUUAUUUUAGAAGAGUAA